AACGAACGCUGGCGGCAUGCCUAACACAUGCAAGUCGAACGAGACCUUCGGGUCUAGUGGCGCACGGGUGCGUAACGCGUGGGAACCUGCCCUUAGGUUCGGAAUAACUCCCCGACAGGGGUGCUAAUACCGGAUAAUGUCUUCGGACCAAAGAUUUAUCGCCCUGGGAUGGGCCCGCGUUGGAUUAGCUAGUUGGUAGGGUAAAAGCCUAACAAGGCGACGAUCCGUAGCUGGUCUGAGAGGAUGAUCAGCCACACUGGGACUGAGACACGGCCCAGACUCCUACGGGAGGCAGCAGUGGGGAAUAUUGGACAAUGGGCGAAAGCCUGAUCCAGCAAUGCCGCGUGAGUGAUGAAGGCCUUAGGGUUGUAAAGCUCUUUUACCCGGGAUGAUAAUGACAGUACCGGGAGAAUAAGCUCCGGCUAACUCCGUG
RNAcentral lists this ribosomal RNA (433 nucleotides) under uncultured bacterium. RNAcentral's name for it is "partial 16S ribosomal RNA". It matches the Rfam family "Bacterial small subunit ribosomal RNA", at positions 29 to 507 of the family's 1533-position model. The record is from RNAcentral.